UGGCUCAGGAUGAACGCUGGCGGCGUGCUUAACACAUGCAAGUCGAGCGAAGCGAUUCAAAUGAAGUUUUCGGAUGGAUUUUGAAUUGACUUAGCGGCGGACGGGUGAGUAACGCGUGGGUAACCUGCCUCAUACAGGGGGAUAACAGUUGGAAACGGCUGCUAAUACCGCAUAAGCACACAGUGCCGCAUGGUACGGUGUGAAAAACUCCGGUGGUAUGAGAUGGACCCGCGUCUGAUUAGGUAGUUGGUGAGGUAACGGCCCACCAAGCCGACGAUCAGUAGCCGACCUGAGAGGGUGACCGGCCACAUUGGGACUGAGACACGGCCCAAACUCCUACGGGAGGCAGCAGUGGGGAAUAUUGGACAAUGGGGGAAACCCUGAUCCAGCGACGCCGCGUGAGUGAAGAAGUAUUUCGGUAUGUAAAGCUCUAUCAGCAGGGAAGAAAAUGACGGUACCUGACUAAGAAGCCCCGGCCAACUACGUGCCAGCAGCCGCGGUAAUACGUAGGGGGCAAGCGUUAUCCGGAUUUACUGGGUGUAAAGGGAGCGUAGACGGCACUGCAAGUCUGGAGUGAAAGCCCGGGGCUCAACCCCGGGACUGCUUUGGAAACUGUGGUGCUAGAGUGCAGGAGAGGUAAGUGGAAUUCCUAGUGUAGCGGUGAAAUGCGUAGAUAUUAGGAGGAACACCAGUGGCGAAGG
This 701-nucleotide ribosomal RNA is filed under the name uncultured bacterium. RNAcentral's name for it is "bacterial SSU rRNA". It matches the Rfam family "Bacterial small subunit ribosomal RNA", at positions 20 to 721 of the family's 1533-position model. The record is from RNAcentral.